UAUUGCACAAUGGGCGAAAGCCUGAUGCAGCAACGCCGCGUGAGCGAUGAAGGCCUUCGGGUCGUAAAGCGCUGUCCUCAAGGAAGAUAAUGACGGUACUUGAGGAGGAAGCCCCGGCUAACUACGUGCAAGCAGCCGCGGUAAUACGUAGGGGGCUAGCGUUACCCGGAAUUACUGGGCGUAAAGGGUGCGUAGGUGGUUUCUUAAGUCAGAGGUGAGAGGCUACGGCUCAACCGUAGUAAGCCUUUGAAACUGGGGAACUUGAGUGCAGAAGAGAAGAGUGGAAUUCCUAGUGUAGCGGUGAAAUGCGUAGAUAUUAGGAGGAACACCAGUUGCGAAGGCGGCUCUCUGGACUGUAACUGACACUGAGGCACGAAAGCGUGAGGAGCAAAC
This 393-nucleotide ribosomal RNA is filed under the name uncultured bacterium. RNAcentral describes it as "bacterial SSU rRNA". It matches the Rfam family "Bacterial small subunit ribosomal RNA", at positions 362 to 773 of the family's 1533-position model. The record is from RNAcentral.